UCUGUAGCCUAAUGGUAGGGUUCUAGACUAGUGGAUUCGUCACAAUUUCAAGUCAAACGGCCACGGUUCGAGCCCGUGAGUUGGAAAA
Non-coding RNA from Rhypophila decipiens, 88 nucleotides. Lineage: Eukaryota; Fungi; Ascomycota; Sordariomycetes; Sordariales; Naviculisporaceae. The record is from the annotation of a GenBank genome assembly.